RNAcentral lists this ribosomal RNA (698 nucleotides) under uncultured bacterium. RNAcentral's name for it is "bacterial SSU rRNA". It matches the Rfam family "Bacterial small subunit ribosomal RNA", at positions 8 to 690 of the family's 1533-position model. The record is from RNAcentral.
GAGAGUUUGAUUAUGGCUCAGGACGAACGCUGGCGGCGUGCCUAAUACAUGCAAGUAGAACGCUGAAGGAGGAGCUUGCUCUUCUGGAUGAGUUGCGAACGGGUGAGUAACGCGUAGGUAACCUGCCUGGUAGCGGGGGAUAACUAUUGGAAACGAUAGCUAAUACCGCAUAAUAGUAGAUGUUGCAUGACAUUUGCUUAAAAGGUGCAAUUGCAUCACUACCAGAUGGACCUGCGUUGUAUUAGCUAGUUGGUGGGGUAACGGCUCACCAAGGCGACGAUACAUAGCCGACCUGAGAGGGUGAUCGGCCACACUGGGACUGAGACACGGCCCAGACUCCUACGGGAGGCAGCAGUAGGGAAUCUUCGGCAAUGGACGAAAGUCUGACCGAGCAACGCCGCGUGAGUGAAGAAGGUUUUCGGAUCGUAAAGCUCUGUUGUAAGAGAAGAACGAGUGUGAGAGUGGAAAGUUCACACUGUGACGGUAUCUUACCAGAAAGGGACGGCUAACUACGUGCCAGCAGCCGCGGUAAUACGUAGGUCCCGAGCGUUGUCCGGAUUUAUUGGGCGUAAAGCGAGCGCAGGCGGUUAGAUAAGUCUGAAGUUAAAGGCUGUGGCUUAACCAUAGUACGCUUUGGAAACUGUUUAACUUGAGUGCAAGAGGGGAGAGUGGAAUUCCAUGUGUAGCGGUGAAAUGCG